Molecule: long non-coding RNA, 4068 nt
Filed under: Mytilus galloprovincialis (Mediterranean mussel)
Lineage: Eukaryota; Metazoa; Mollusca; Bivalvia; Mytilida; Mytilidae
Source: RNAcentral
UGACCCGAUUACUAUUUUAAGGAGUGACUUUCGUGAACGUUAUGUUUCACCACCGAUUGAAAAUUCGCAUGUAAAAGAUGUAACAUACACAAUUCAGGAUACAAGUGACCCGAGUGACGUUUAACUACAGGUAAAUUAAUUAGAGAGGUGUGAAAAGUGAUAAUUUUGUUUUUAUAUAUCUACAUGAUCUAAUUGGACACCCAAACAUAUCAGGUCGUCUACUGUUUAAAACAAUCUCCUUAGUCCUUAUUUUGUUGCCCAGAUACUACUCAUUUCAGGGGCGAAAUUGCAUAAAUGUAAUAGCUGUUUUGAUUUAUAAAUGUGUAGAUAUGAUUAAUCAAUAAUAUAUGUUUACCGGCACUAAAAAUAGAAUGCAUUUUCCGUACGCUUUAUUUAUAAAUAGUACUACACAUGAUUGCUAGUAAUGGUGAAAUCGACUACCUGUAAAUAUUGACAUUUAUCACUGACAUGAUUAUGGUCUGUAAUCCAUAAAGCACAAAUAGUUUCAAACAGUAAGUACACUUUUUGUAAAGUAAUAUCUUGAAGCAAAUGUUUUAACACUGAGGAUUGGGGCUUAAAUUUCAACUAUAUGUAAAUAUGCAUAUUUAAAAAGAUAAAUACACUCCGGACCCGCACGAGAUAACCUCGAGUCGACAGUAAUUGUGUGUUAUAAAGUUAUAUACAUUUCUCAUCAUUCAUACUGUAUUUUGAUAUCAGCGGGAUCGCAACAUUUACAUUAUUUAUCAGCGUACGUCCUGUGGCAAAUAUUUCAUAUAUAUUAAAGAGUAAAUAUAUAAUUUAAAGUUUCUGCAAGGCACGAGGAGCGGAUGAUUUGAAUUUCCCUAGAUGCAUGUAGAGUAAAAAGAAAGUAUAUUUAUAGAUAGAGAUAGUUAUUCUUAAGUUAUGUAUAAUGUAACGAGAAGAGAUACAAUGUAGUGUCAAAUUCCUUACAAAAUUGGAUAUCAAGUCCCCUCUGCCGAUCGGACGUUGCUGUGUAUUUAUUACAUCCAAUAUAGCCUUAUAAACGCCAAAUCUUUAAAAGGGUUAAUCAAUGGUGGAUCCAGUGAUUUUCAAAAGGGGGCACUGCUUGCCUUAGAGGGGGUCCGCUCAGGUCAUGCUUCAGUGAUUCCUUAUAUAAUCAACCAAAUUUUUCCCACAAAAGGGGGGCCGGGUCCCCUCUAAUGCGCCUUUGGUUUAAUUACCAAGCCAGAGAGAAAUCCAGUGAUGACCCUAGUCAAUCCGUGGGGUAACCUGCCAGAGAGAAAUUCAGUGAUGACCCUAGUGUUUCCAUUGGUAACCUUUUUGUACAAAAUAAAACUAUAAAUGGUAUACACGGGACAAUUAAAGAUGUGAAAAUCAACAUAUAAAUUGACUUCUCAAUCUAAUUACUACAAGCGAGUAUAACGAAAUCAGAGAUCAAUAUUUUAAUUAAAUUGAUUGACUUUUUUAUCACUACUUAAUUUGCAGUGUCCUAUUUCUUAACGUUUAAUUACUUGUAUUUUUAGAGUGAGAGAUAAAUGGCCGAAGCGGGAACGAAACAGAAAGUUAUAUUGUGUUUAGGUGGUGCCUUUAAUCCUCCGCACAGUAGACAUGUUAUGGCAAUGGUAUUAGGGAAACAGUGGCUUGAAUCAAAUACCAAUUACCAAGUUGUGGCUGGAAGACUAGCCGUAGCGCCGGAUGGAUAUGUAAAAACAAAAUCUAGGAAAACAGGAGCUAAAUGCAUGAAAGCAAAACACAGAAUAAAACUUUGCGAGCUAUCUUGCUGUGAACAAAGAGAUUGGUUAGCACCAUAUCACCGACCAGUUGGUUCCGCUGGGGAAUGUGGUGAAAAGACAAUAUUAGAAAUGAAAAGCCAAUCUCGGGAUUUAGAAGAUAUGCAUGUUGCUGUUAUAGUCGGAGCAGAUAGAGCAAUGAACAAAUCUGGACAUGCUAAAUGGCACAAGGAAUUCAAGCAUAUAACUGUGUGUAUAGGGAGGAAGGGAGAAACAGCCAGAAUUCUCGAAAGAUAUGAAAAAGAUAAAGAUUCGGGCAAUGUAAAACAUAAACAGUUUUGCCUUAUACCAGACGAACUUGACAAUGUUAGUUCUACCGCAGUAAGACAAGUUCUUGCUAAGAUGGAAGGAUCAGAAAGUGAUAAGGAACAAGUGAUGGAUACCUUAAUAAAAGAUGGAUGGCUUCUUAAAAGCCAAAUGUCUUAUAUAUUAGAAAAUGAAUCGGAUCUUUAUUUUUGAUACUUUAAAACAUUAACUUACCAUUCGGUAUCUUUUUUACGACUGCAAACCUAUGAACAAUAUACUUUCGGACAAAAAGGAACUGGUAUUUUCUCCUUUAAAGUAUUUUACGGCUUGAAUCAUUAAUGCUCUGAUUGUUUCCUCGUCUACGGGAAUAUGUUUCAAGUUUGUAAAAUAAUGCGUGAAAUAAUACAUCAAGUCACAAAAAAUUGGGUAGAAUAUUUGAUAAGUUAUAAACGACAAAAAGAUAUGUGUAUACCUCGACGUCACGCAUGAGAUGAAAGGAGGUUGCGUUUUAAAAAUUAUCGAAACAAAUGAAUGUAUCUAGAAGGUUUCAUCAGCCCAUAUAUCAUAUAUUCGGCAUUUAUAUGAUUUUAUAAAAUACGUGUAUAAUUGUUAAUUUUUUUCAUAAAUGUGUACUUAGGAACUGAAACUAACGUUCAUAUUAGUAAUACUUUGGCACUGGCUACGGUUACAUGGAAAUGUAACAAUAAUAAAAAUAUUAUUGUUACAUUGGAGACUAAUUGCCGGAAUGCAAAGUUGGGUAAGGAACCGAUUAAUUACGAAUGUAACAAUAAUUAUUGAGGCUACGAUUACAUUGCGUUAUUGUUACAAGAAAAACAGCAAUGUACGCUAGAUUUAUUGAAACGAAACGAAACUGAAACAAUAUCGAGACACAAAUUUCAUACAGCUAUACAAAAUUAACGCACUUAUCAAAAAUUGAAACAUCAAAAGCAAAGUUUGCUAACUGUGAACUAACACUGUGAACUUCUGUUUACAUGUAUACAAUUGAGAAUGGAAAUGGGGAAGGUGUCAAAGCGACAACAACCCGAACAUAGAGCAGACAACAGCCGAAGGUCACCAAUGGGUCUUCAAUGUAGCGAGAAACUCCCGCACCCGUCGGAGGCGUCCUUCAGCUGGCCCCUAAACAAAUAUGUAUACUAGUUCAGUGAUUACGGACGUCAUACUAAACUCCGAUUUAUACACAAGAAACUACAUUAAAAAAUCCUACAAGACUAACAAAGGCCAUGCAAAGGCUCCUGACUUGAGAAAGGCACAACUUGAAUUGCGGCGGGGUUAAACAUGUUUAUGAGAUAUCAACCCUCCCCUAUACCUCUAGCCAAUGUAGAAAAAACAACGCAACGCACAACACUACGCAUAGUAAAACUCAGUUUAAGAGAUGUCCGAGUCCGAUUUCAGAAUCCAUGGAGGACGUACUAUAAAAAAAUCCAAAAAUUGUAUGUUAUACUUGUAUGUAUCGUAAAUAUAAGAUAAUGUCUUCAACUUUUAUUAUUUAGUACAUAUUACUAGUCCCAUCGAACAUUGCUGUUUUUCAUGUAACAAUAACACAAUGUAACCGUAGCCUCAAUAAUUAUUGUUACAUUCGUAAUUAAUCGGUUCCUUAUCCAACCAUGCAUUCCGGCAUUUAGUCCCCAAUGUAACAAUAAUAUUUUUAUUAUUGUUACAUUUCCAUGUAACCGUAGCCAGUGCCUAUUACUUUAGCGCGAGUUUGUCUCCUCGUCGUGUAUACAUUCCUGACUUUCAUAGAAAUGUGCUUCGGAAUAAAAAUUUAAAGUUAUCACCGGCAUACGAAUGGGGGUAAAUGGAACUCUUCAAAGCAUCGCACAUUCUCUGUAAUAAAUGCAGAGAUCUCUGUCUUCGCUUUCUACAUUGGAUUACGAUCACGGAACUUGAGAUCUCUCUGAAAUAAAAUUAGGUUGGUUCUUCAAAGUAAAACUAUAAUUUCGCAAGAAGACUUUUGGUUAACAACAAUAAAAUGGUAGCAAACUAACAAAGCUAUCAUAUCAAGUCAUAAAUGUUUCCAUCAAAAUAAAGC